CCUACCUCCCCCAGGGACUGCUUAAUCUAGGGGACUGAAGGGUGAUCAGGAGAAAGAAAAGAGAGAAUUAUGCUGCUUCCAACAAUUAGUAGUUUGUCCUGGAACCGGGGCAUUUAAGGUUCCUGUUCCUGGAAACCGGAUGCCUUAGUCCUACCAUAUUUAGAUGGAAGAGUGGGAAGACUUUGGGAGCCAACUGGCAAAGCUAUUCUCUCUCUCUAGCAGCCUCAGCCUCUUCUAGGCAAACCUUCGGGGCUUUAGUCUUAGCGUGGCUCAUCGGACAGCAGGGAAGGCGGAGUGGGUCUGCGAAGGAGAAACAUCAGGACAUAUCAACAUGAACGGGAGUGACGGGCAGUUCGGGGCCCUGUCUGGGCCAGGCUGGUCAGAAGAAGAGCUGGAGGAAAUGCUGUGGUUUUACCGGACAGAGGACUCAACACCAUGGAAUAUUGCUGUCCUCGUCCUUGCAUUCGUGGU
This 471-nucleotide long non-coding RNA is filed under the name Vombatus ursinus (common wombat). RNAcentral's name for it is "lncRNA (ENSVURG00010016684.1)". Lineage: Eukaryota; Metazoa; Chordata; Mammalia; Diprotodontia; Vombatidae. The record is from RNAcentral.